RNAcentral lists this long non-coding RNA (778 nucleotides) under Cercocebus atys (sooty mangabey). RNAcentral describes it as "lncRNA (ENSCATG00000045731.1)". Lineage: Eukaryota; Metazoa; Chordata; Mammalia; Primates; Cercopithecidae. The record is from RNAcentral.
UUGUAAGUGGGGCUCAGCUGUUCUUCUGGGACCGCUUACUUGGCUGUGCUCAUCUCAGCAGGGCUGCAGGAGAUCCAGAAGACACACGGAUGUCCUUCAACAUCUCCACUCAGAGCUGACACAAAGUAACUGUUGUCCACAUUCCAUUUCUCAGAGCAAGCACCCGACCAAAUCCAAAGAAACAGCAUCCUUGCCCUUCCUGCAAGAGUGGAGGGGAAGAAACUGGAAGCAAAUCAGGCUACAGAUGAAGAAAAGCCAAUAAAAUAACAGCUUUGGGCCUGAUGCUGUGGCUCAUUCCUGUAAUCCCAGCAUUUUGGGAGGCUGACAAGGGCAGACCACCUGAAGCCAGGAGUUCCAGACCAGCCUGGUCAACAUAGCAAAACCCUGUCUCUACACAAAGUACAAAAAAUUAGCCUAGUGUGAUAGUGCAUGCCUGUAAUCCCAGCUACUGGGAGGUGAGGCACCAGAAUCACUUGAACCCAGGAAUUGGAGGUUGCAGAGAGCCAAGAUCAUACCACUGCACACUGCACUCCAGCCUGCGUGACAGGGCAAGACUCUGUCUCAAAAAACAAUAACAAUGACAAAACAACAACAACAACAACAGCAACAACAAAAGCAGCAUGAUUUUGCUUCCUUAGAAAGGACUAUUUGCUAAAUGUGUGAUGUGUGUAAAGGUGCAUAGUUAGGAUAGGUGAUUAGUGCUAUUCUAUGUUUCCUUGGUGUUUCACCCAAGCUUAGUUAGGCUUUUUAUCCAUUAAAGCCUCAUUUUCAUUUUGUA